Molecule: ribosomal RNA, 243 nt
Filed under: uncultured bacterium
Lineage: Bacteria
Description: partial 16S ribosomal RNA
Rfam family: Bacterial small subunit ribosomal RNA
Source: RNAcentral
GAUAAUGGCUCAGGACGAACGCUGGCGGCAUGCCUAACACAUGCAAGUCGAACGGGGAUACAAGAGCUUGCUUUUGUAUCUUAGUGGCGGACGGGCGAGUAACGCGUGAGCAACCUGCCCUUCAGUGGGGAAUAACGUCUGGAAACGGACGCUAAUACCGCAUAACACAACGAAGCCGCAUGACUUUGUUGUCAAAGGAUUUAUUCGCUGAAGGAUGGGCUCGCGUCCGAUUAGCUAGAUGGG